Lentinula detonsa is the source of this 88-nucleotide non-coding RNA. Lineage: Eukaryota; Fungi; Basidiomycota; Agaricomycetes; Agaricales; Omphalotaceae. The record is from the annotation of a GenBank genome assembly.
GGUCCAAUAGUGUAGAGGUUAUCACACAGGAUUCUGAAAAAAAAAAAAGAGAUUUCCUGUGACCCAGGUUCGAGUCCUGGUUGGACCU